Molecule: unclassified non-coding RNA, 20 nt
Filed under: Dictyostelium discoideum
Lineage: Eukaryota; Evosea; Eumycetozoa; Dictyosteliales; Dictyosteliaceae
Source: RNAcentral
GAUACCCUUCUUCUCCACCA